GAGCGCACUUCGGGCUGCGGCUGAGCCUGCGAGGCGCUGGAGCUUCAUCCGUCCUCAUCACCUCCCGUCCGUCAACGUCUUCAGCCCAUUCUGCUUUGCGGGAGUCUAGACUUUUGGAAACUUCCCAACCUGAGCUUUUCAGAAGUGAGAGAAUGCCUCAUCCAUAAUGAAGAUAUUUCUGAGGAUAAAAAGACAAGCUUUAUUUGAAGAAAAUCCUCCUCUGUGAAUGGAAUAAGUAACAGGAGCUGGUCACACAAUGA
Long non-coding RNA from Onychostoma macrolepis, 260 nucleotides. RefSeq lists it as uncharacterized. NCBI's taxonomy places the organism in Eukaryota, Metazoa, Chordata, Actinopteri, Cypriniformes, Cyprinidae. The transcript is spliced from 3 exons. The record is from RefSeq and is a predicted model, not a curated record.